AUGAACGCUGGCGGCGUGCCUAAUACAUGCAAGUCGAGCGAACAGAUGAGGAGCUUGCUCCUCUGACGUUAGCGGCGGACGGGUGAGUAACACGUGGAUAACCUACCUAUAAGACUGGGAUAACUUCGGGAAACCGGAGCUAAUACCGGAUAAUAUAUUGAACCGCAUGGUUCAAUAGUGAAAGACGGUUUUGCUGUCACUUAUAGAUGGAUCCGCGCCGCAUUAGCUAGUUGGUAAGGUAACGGCUUACCAAGGCAACGAUGCGUAGCCGACCUGAGAGGGUGAUCGGCCACACUGGAACUGAGACACGGUCCAGACUCCUACGGGAGGCAGCAGUAGGGAAUCUUCCGCAACGGGCGAAAGCUUGACGGAGCAACGCCGCGUGAGUGAUGAAGGUCUUCGGAUCGUAAAACUCUGUUAUUAGGGAAGAACAAAUGUGUAAGUAACUAUGCACGUCUUGACGGUACCUAAUCAGAAAGCCACGGCUAACUACGUG
RNAcentral lists this ribosomal RNA (496 nucleotides) under uncultured bacterium. RNAcentral describes it as "partial 16S ribosomal RNA". It matches the Rfam family "Bacterial small subunit ribosomal RNA", at positions 29 to 507 of the family's 1533-position model. The record is from RNAcentral.